Molecule: ribosomal RNA, 439 nt
Filed under: uncultured bacterium
Lineage: Bacteria
Description: partial 16S ribosomal RNA
Rfam family: Bacterial small subunit ribosomal RNA
Source: RNAcentral
CUACGGGAGGCAGCAGUGAGGAAUAUUGCACAAUGGGGGGAACCCUGACGCAGCAACGCCGCGUGGAGGAUGACGCAUUUCGGUGUGUAAACUCCUUUUAUAUGUCAAGAAAAUGACGGUAGCAUAUGAAUAAGCACCGGCUAACUCCGUGCCAGCAGCCGCGGUAAUACGGAGGGGGCAAGCGUUACUCGGAAUCACUGGGCGUAAAGGACGCGUAGGCGGGUUGGAAAGUCAGGUGUGAAAUCCUACAGCUUAACUGUAGAACUGCACUUGAAACUUCUAACCUAGAGUAUGGGAGGGGGAGAUGGAAUUAGUGGUGUAGGGGUAAAAUCCGUAGAUAUCACUAGGAAUACCUAAAGCGAAGGCGAUCUCCUGGAACAUUACUGACGCUAAGGCGUGAAAGCGUGGGGAGCAAACAGGAUUAGAUACCCGGGUAGUC